This 71-nucleotide transfer RNA is filed under the name Candidatus Roizmanbacteria bacterium CG09_land_8_20_14_0_10_41_9. RNAcentral's name for it is "tRNA-Gly". It matches the Rfam family "tRNA". From Rfam's summary of the family: Transfer RNA (tRNA) molecules are approximately 80 nucleotides in length. Their secondary structure includes four short double-helical elements and three loops (D, anti-codon, and T loops). Lineage: Bacteria; Candidatus Roizmaniibacteriota. The record is from RNAcentral.
GCGGGAUUAGUACAGUGGCAGUACGCCGCCUUGCCAAGGCGGAGGCGCGAGUCCGAUUCUCGUAUCCCGCU